RNAcentral lists this ribosomal RNA (439 nucleotides) under uncultured bacterium. RNAcentral describes it as "partial 16S ribosomal RNA". It matches the Rfam family "Bacterial small subunit ribosomal RNA", at positions 339 to 795 of the family's 1533-position model. The record is from RNAcentral.
CUACGGGUCGCAGCAGUGAGGAAUCUUCCACAAUGGACGAAAGUCUGAUGGAGCGACACCGCGUGAAGGAUGACGGCCUAACGGUUGUAAACUUCUUUUCUGAGGGAGCAUAAUGAGAGUACUUCAGGAAUAAGGAACGGCAAAUCACGUGCCAGCAGCCGCGGUAAUACGUGAGUUCCAAGCGUUACCCGGAAUUAUUGGGUGUAAAGGGUAUGUAGGUGGAUUUUUAAGUCAGGUAUGAAAGACCGAGGCUCAACCUCGCGUUUGUAUUUGAAACUGAAAAUCUGGAAUCAGGGAGAGGUAAGCGGAAUUCUAAGUGUAGGGGUGCAAUCCGUAGAUACUUAGAAGAACACCAAAAGCGAAGGCAGCUUACUGGAACUGUAUUGACACUGAGAUACGAAAGCGUGGGGAGCAAAAAGGAUUAGAUACCCCCGUAGUC